This 200-nucleotide long non-coding RNA is filed under the name Elaeis guineensis (African oil palm). Its description in RNAcentral is "long non-coding RNA (EGUI_LNC044933)". The record is from RNAcentral. Lineage: Eukaryota; Viridiplantae; Streptophyta; Magnoliopsida; Arecales; Arecaceae.
UGGCAAGUCGUGAUAACGGACACCACUCCACUCUCUGUAACAAACUCCACGUGGCCCUGGACAGCCCACUAUCAGGCACUUACGGACGUCGCUGUCAAGCGGUUAUGCUUUCCGUCUAUAAAAGAGAUCCCCCAGAUACGUUCUCCUCUAAGCUCUAAACUCUAUCUCGAAACUCUACUAAAAUCCCAUUCGAGUGCUCC